UUUUUGGUAUAAAUAUGCUCCAUGCAAUAUUUGGGAUAUACAUAUACCAAAA
RNAcentral lists this microRNA precursor (52 nucleotides) under Cercocebus atys (sooty mangabey). RNAcentral describes it as "mir-1302 microRNA precursor family". It matches the Rfam family "mir-1302 microRNA precursor family". RNAcentral also lists the same sequence under 5 other names. The record is from Rfam by way of RNAcentral. Lineage: Eukaryota; Metazoa; Chordata; Mammalia; Primates; Cercopithecidae.